This 405-nucleotide ribosomal RNA is filed under the name uncultured prokaryote. RNAcentral describes it as "bacterial SSU rRNA". It matches the Rfam family "Bacterial small subunit ribosomal RNA", at positions 355 to 774 of the family's 1533-position model. The record is from RNAcentral.
UGGGGAAUAUUGGGCAAUGGGCGCAAGCCUGACCCAGCAACGCCGCGUGAGGGAAGAAGGCCUUCGGGUUGUAAACCUCUGUCCUUAGUGACGAAAAAAAUGACGGUAGCCAAGGAGGAAGCCCCGGCUAACUACGUGCCAGCAGCCGCGGUAAUACGUAGGGGGCGAGCGUUGUCCGGAAUUACUGGGCGUAAAGGGUGCGUAGGUGGCCUUUUAAGUUGGAUGUGAAAUACCCGGGCUUAACUUGGGGGGUGCAGCUAAGACUGGAGGGCUAGAGUGCAGGGGAGGGAAGCGGAAUUCCUAGUGUAGCGGUGAAAUGCGUAGAUAUUAGGAGGAACACCAGUGGCGAAGGCGGCUUUCUGGACUGUAACUGACACUGAGGCACGAAAGCGUGGGGAGCAAACA